CACGUAGGGCGCAAGCGUUGUCCGGAAUUAUUGGGCGUAAAGAGCUCGUAGGCGGUCUGUUGCGUCCGCUGUGAAAACUCGGGGCUUAACCCCGAGCCUGCAGUGGAUACGGGCAGACUAGAGGUAGGUAGGGGAGAAUGGAAUUCCCGGUGUAGCGGUGAAAUGCGCAGAUAUCGGGAGGAACACCGGUGGCGAAGGCGGGUCUCUGGACAGUUCCUGACGCUGAGGCACGAAGGUCAGGGGAGCAAACGGG
RNAcentral lists this ribosomal RNA (253 nucleotides) under uncultured bacterium. RNAcentral's name for it is "partial 16S ribosomal RNA". It matches the Rfam family "Bacterial small subunit ribosomal RNA", at positions 524 to 776 of the family's 1533-position model. The record is from RNAcentral.